This 253-nucleotide ribosomal RNA is filed under the name uncultured bacterium. RNAcentral describes it as "partial 16S ribosomal RNA". It matches the Rfam family "Bacterial small subunit ribosomal RNA", at positions 524 to 776 of the family's 1533-position model. The record is from RNAcentral.
UACGAAGGGGGCUAGCGUUGUUCGGAAUCACUGGGCGUAAAGGGCGCGUAGGCGGCCGAUCAAGUCGGGGGUGAAAGCCUGUGGCUCAACCACAGAAUUGCCUUCGAUACUGUUUGGCUUGAGACCGGAAGAGGUUAGUGGAACUGCGAGUGUAGAGGCGAAAUUCGUAGAUAUUCGCAAGAACACCAGUGGCGAAGGCGGCUGACUGGUCCGGUUCUGACGCUGAGGCGCGAAAGCGUGGGGAGCAAACAGG